AAAGUUACAUAAGCGCACACAACGAAUGCCUUGACGCAAUUUACCGAUAAAGGACGUAAUAGGCUGCGAUAAGCCUCGGGGAGCUGCCCUUCAGCUUUGAACCGAGGAUUUCCGAAUGGGGAAACCCGGCUAGAGUCAUGUCUAGUCACUCUUAUCUGAAUAUAUAGGAUAGGUAGAGGUAACCGCCCGAACUGAAACAUCUAAGUAGGGCGAGGAAAAGAAAGUAAACAACGAUUCCGGGAGUAGUGGCGAGCGAAACUGGAAUAGCCCAAACCUAGUAAACUUUCAUUUAGUAAUAAAUGAAUAAGUUGGUAGACGAAUGUUUAAUAGGGGUUGUGACGUUGUAAAUAACCAGUACAGAGUAUUGAAUUUAUUCAGUAUUCUGUAGUGGGAACCGAGGCUACCAUUCCUCGGUGUAAGGAGUAGAAAAAGUGGCAAUGCAAGCAGAAGGAACUGGAAAGUUCCGCCAAAGACGGUGAUAGCCCGGUAUGCCAAGUAUUGCUAACCUUAUUUUUACAAUAGUCGAGUAGGACGGGGCACGAGAAACCCUGUUUGAAUCCGGGACGACCACGUUCCAAGGCUAAAUAUAAAUUGCGAUCGAUAGUGAACUAGUACCGCGAGGGAAAGGUUAAAAGAACCCCGGAAGGGGAGUGAAAUAGAUUCUGAAAUUGUGUGCGUACAAGGACUCGGAGGGCUUCGGCCUGACGGGGUGCUUUUUGUAGAACGAUCCAACGAGUUAAUUGUUAGUGCAGCCUAAGGCAAUUGCCGGAGGCACAGUGAAAGCGAGGCUGAAUAGGCCGCCAUUGUACUAAUGAUUAGACCCGAAACCAGGUGACCUUACCAUGAGCAGGAUGAAGCAGCGGUAAAACGCUGUGGAGGUCCGAACCGUAGCGAGUUGCAACACGCCCGGAUGACUUGUGGUAAGCGGUGAAAUGCCAAUCGAACCUGGAGAUAGCUGGUUCUCCUCGAAAUAGCUUUAGGGCUAGCGUCGUACGGUAACAUGCAGGGGUAGAGCUCUGAUUCGGACUGCGGCCAGUAAUGGUACGCACCCUUGUCAAACUACGAAUACUGCAUGCGGAACUACGGCAGUCAGAACGGCGGGGCUAAGCUCGUCGCUCAAAAGGGAAACAGCCCAGACCAUCAGCUAAGGUCCCUAAAUAUACACUCAGUGGGAAACGAGGUGAGAUUUCUUAAACAAUGAGGAUGUUGGCUUAGAAGCAGCCAUUCAUUUAAAGAGUGCGUAACAGCUCACUCAUCAAGAGAUCUUGCGCGGAAAAUGUAACGGGGCUAAAGUGUAUUACCGAAGCUAUGGGUUCGUAUUUAUACGAGCGGUAGAGGAGCGUUCCUAUUGCGCUGAAGUUGAACCGCGAGGUUUGGUGGAGCGGUAGGAAGUGAGAAUGUUGGAAUAAGUAACCAUAAGGCAGGUGAGAAUCCUGCCCACCGAAAGAGCAAGGUUUCCUGGGCCACGGUAAUCGUCCCAGGGUUAGUCGGUCCUAAGCCGAGGCGCGUAGCGUAGGCGAUGGACAACGGGUUAAUAUUCCCGUACCGGUGAUAAAUUGUUAGGAGUGCGCGGCAAAGUAGUAAGAGCGGGUUCAUGGUUAUACCCGUUUAACAGUGUGUUAUGCACUGGAAUAAGAUGCUCUUUUAGAGCAGAUUCGUACGAUAAUGCUGACCAGAAAAGCUUUCUAACGCGUGUUUAUCAUCGUCCGUACCGCAAACCGACACAGGUGCUCAGGUCGAGAAGACCAAGGUGUACGAGUGAUUCUUCGUUAAGGAACUCGGCAAUACAGCGACCGUAACUUCGGGAUAAGGUCUGCCCCAGCAAUGGGGCCGCAGCUAAAGAUUCCACGCAACUGUUUACCAAAAACAUAGGUCUCUGCUAACACGAAAGUGGAUGUAUAGGGGCUGACUCCUGCCCAGUGCUGGAAGGUUAAGGGGAGAGCUUCACGGCUUGAACUGAAGCCCCAGUGAACGGCGGCGGUAACUAUAACCGUCCUAAGGUAGCGAAAUUCCUUGUCAGGUAAGUUCUGACCCGCACGAAUGGAGUAAUGAUGUGGAAACUGUCUCAACGAAGAGCUCGGUGAAAGUGCAUUGACGGUAAAGAUGCCGUCUGUCCGCAGCAGGACGAAAAGACCCUAUGGAGCUUUACUACAGCUUGACAUUGGAUCGGAUUGUAACAUGUGUAGCAUAGGUGGGAGACUAUGAAGCCAUCGCGCUAGCGAUGGUGGAGUCAAAAUAUGAAAUACCACCCUUGUUCCAAUCUUAUUCUUACCCCGACCGUUAUCCGGUCAGGGGACCGUGUCUGGUGGGUAGUUUAACUGGGGCGGUUGCCUCCUAAAGAGUAUCGGAGGCGUUCAAAGGUUAGCUAGGUACGGAUGGAAAUCGUGCCGAUAGUGCAUACGCAUAAGCUAGCUUGACUGUGAGGCCGACAAGCCAAUCAGGGACGAAAGUCGGAGUAAGUGACCCGCUGUAUUAGCAUUUAUGCUUAUGAAAGUGGGAUCGACAGCGCAAACGGAUAAAAGUUACCCUAGGGAUAACAGGCUUAUCGGGCCCAAUAGUUCACAUAGACGGCCCGGUUUGGCACCUCGAUGUCGGCUCAUCACAUCCUGGGACUGGAGCAGGCCCCAAGGGUCCGGCUGUUCGCCGGUUAAAGUGGUACGUGAGCUGGGUUCAGAACGUCGUGAGACAGUUCGGUUUAUAUCCGCUGUGGACGUCAGGAAAUUUGAGGAGAUUUGCCCUUAGUACGAGAGGACCGGGGUGAACGUACCGCUGGUGUAUCAGUUGUCAUACCAAUGGCAUCGCUGAGUAGCUAUGUACGGGAAAGAUAAGCGCUGAAAGCAUAUUAAGCGCGAAACUGACUUCAAGAUGAGAUUUCCCUAUGGAGCCCCCUGAAAGACUAUCAGGUUGAUAGGCACCAAGUGUAAGCACGGCAACGUGUUCAGCUGAGGUGUACUAAUAGGGCCAUCGAUUUU
This 2972-nucleotide ribosomal RNA is filed under the name bacterium. RNAcentral's name for it is "23S ribosomal RNA". It matches the Rfam family "Bacterial large subunit ribosomal RNA". The record is from RNAcentral.